RNAcentral lists this ribosomal RNA (253 nucleotides) under uncultured bacterium. RNAcentral's name for it is "partial 16S ribosomal RNA". It matches the Rfam family "Archaeal small subunit ribosomal RNA", at positions 474 to 727 of the family's 1478-position model. The record is from RNAcentral.
UACCAGCACCCCGAGUGGUCGGGACGAUUAUUGGGCCUAAAGCAUCCGUAGCCGGUCCUACAAGUCUUCCGUUAAAUCCACCUGCUCAACAGAUGGGCUGCGGAAGAUACUAUAGGGCUAGGAGGCGGGAGAGGCAAGCGGUACUCAGUGGGUAGGGGUAAAAUCCAUUGAUCUACUGAAGACCACCAGUGGCGAAGGCGGUUUGCCAGAACGCGCUCGACGGUGAGGGAUGAAAGCUGGGGGAGCAAACCGG